Molecule: transfer RNA, 71 nt
Filed under: Hordeum vulgare
Lineage: Eukaryota; Viridiplantae; Streptophyta; Magnoliopsida; Poales; Poaceae
Also listed under: 1 other name
Description: tRNA-OTHER
Rfam family: tRNA
About the family: Transfer RNA (tRNA) molecules are approximately 80 nucleotides in length. Their secondary structure includes four short double-helical elements and three loops (D, anti-codon, and T loops). Further hydrogen bonds mediate the characteristic L-shaped molecular structure. tRNAs have two regions of fundamental functional importance: the anti-codon, which is responsible for specific mRNA codon recognition, and the 3' end, to which the tRNAs corresponding amino acid is attached (by aminoacyl-tRNA synthetases). tRNAs cope with the degeneracy of the genetic code in two manners: having more than one tRNA (with a specific anti-codon) for a particular amino acid; and 'wobble' base-pairing, i.e. permitting non-standard base-pairing at the 3rd anti-codon position.
Source: RNAcentral
GGGGCAGUAGUGUAGUGGUAGCGCUAGUGUGAUGUGUCCAGCAGGUUGGGGGUUCGACUCCCUCUGCCCCC